Molecule: ribosomal RNA, 378 nt
Filed under: uncultured bacterium
Lineage: Bacteria
Description: bacterial SSU rRNA
Rfam family: Bacterial small subunit ribosomal RNA
Source: RNAcentral
UAAGACGUAGGGCGCAAGCGUUGUCCGGAUUUAUUGGGCGUAAAGAGCUCGUAGGCGGCUCAUUGCGUCGCCCGUGAAAACCUGGGGCUCAACUUCAGGAUUGCGGGCGAUACGGGUGGGCUGGAGUUCGGUAGGGGAGACUGGAAUUCCUGGUGUAGCGGUGAAAUGCGCAGAUAUCAGGAGGAACACCGGUGGCGAAGGCGGGUCUCUGGGCCGAUACUGACGCUGAGGAGCGAAAGCGUGGGGAGCGAACAGGAUUAGAUACCCUGGUAGUCCACGCUGUAAACGUUGGGCGCUAGGUGUGGGGGGCCUCUCCGGUUUCCUGCGCCGUAGCUAACGCAUUAAGCGCCCCGCCUGGGGAGUACGGCCGCAAGGCUA